RNAcentral lists this unclassified non-coding RNA (305 nucleotides) under Agaricus rufoaurantiacus. Its description in RNAcentral is "partial contains 5.8S ribosomal RNA, internal transcribed spacer 2, and large subunit ribosomal RNA". The record is from RNAcentral. Lineage: Eukaryota; Fungi; Basidiomycota; Agaricomycetes; Agaricales; Agaricaceae.
CGCAUCUUGCGCUCCUUGGUAUUCCGAGGAGCAUGCCUGUUUGAGUGUCAUUAAAUUCUCAACUCUCUUAUGCUGUUUGGUGUAAGAGGGCUUGGAUUGUGGAGGUCUGCUGGCUACUCGUUUGAGGUCAGCUCCUCUGAAAUGCAUUAGCGGAACCGUUUGCGAUCUGCCACAAGUGUGAUAAAUUAUCUGCACUGGCGAGGGGAUUGCUCUCUGUGUUGUUCAGCUUCCAAUUGUCUUCACUUUGUGAGACGACUUCUUGAAUGCUUGACCUCAAAUCAGGUAGGACUACCCGCUGAACUUAA